RNAcentral lists this long non-coding RNA (1271 nucleotides) under Pongo abelii (Sumatran orangutan). Its description in RNAcentral is "lincRNA". Lineage: Eukaryota; Metazoa; Chordata; Mammalia; Primates; Hominidae. The record is from RNAcentral.
GGGGGUCGCUGGUCGCUCCUGGAGUCAUCCCACAAGGCCUUUCCCUCCCUCCUUUCUCCAAAAGAGGAGCCCUCAGGCGACGCACCCAGCACUCUGCGAGGCCCACCAAGGCCACGAGUCCCGAGUCCUGGAGCGAGUUGCAGCGUUCUGGCUGCAGCUGACCACUGACCUAGAGAUGUGCCUUUGCGAAGUGGCAGCGCAUGGAGAAACAGUCGCGGGUCGCCGGGGCCAGAGCCGCCCACCGGGUAGCCAGGAGCAGGCCGGAGCGAGGAGGCUCCCGGGGUGAGACCGGGGCACCCUGAACAUCAUAAGGGACUCAGACUUUGGCAUCCCCGACGUCAUAAAGGAUUCACACGGAUGCGGAAACCGAGACGGGCUGGAUGGAAAACUCUAUCCAGAGAGGCUCCGAGGCCCUCAACUGGUCUCCAACCUUCCCCUGCAACCUGCGACACCUGCCAUUUUCCCAUCUUAGGCUCCAGAAGCAGAAUCAAGUGGGAUGUCUUGGAAGAAAAACAAACAAAAGGCCCACUAGGUGGAGUGAAAUGAAUCAGGAGCGAUUAUGUUCAAUUUCACCUGUAAGUUUUCUCAAAAGGAGGAGCAUUAAGAAUCAGCCAUCUUAGUACAUACUUAAAGGUAAAUAUUACAUUUAAGAAAAUCCUUGUUAUCUUAAUGUGGCACUGAGAAAAUACUACCAAGUACAGCACUUGGACUAAGUUAGAACAUUAAAUACACAGGAUCUCUUGAUAGAAUUAUCCUCAGACUUUCCAGUUCUAAUCGUCUAGAUUUACUGAGACCUGAUCCUGUCCCCGCUGAUGAAACGUCAGAGGAAUGGGAUCCUGUAGGUGAAGAUCAUCAGCUUAUAAAAUCCUGUUGCCAUCAAUGGGGGUGGCAGGAAAAGGAUGAAGAUUGUUUAAGGGGCCAGUGGACUCAGCAUUGAAAUGAAUCAUGGACUUGAAGCCAAAAGACUCAGUUUGUGUCCCAGCUCUCUCAAGCAAAGUCCCCAAGUCCCAGUUUCCUCAUCUAUAAAAAAUAAUAAAAAUACUUAAUGGACAAAGUUGUGUGGGAAUCAAAUGAGAUAAAGUAUGCUCUGCAUAUACCCUAAAGUCUUAUAUAAAUAAAGGCAUUCUUUUCAUCUGAGAAAUUGAAGAAAAAGAUGCCCUGAACAAGAAAGACAGGAGAAAAGAUUUUUUUUUAAAUGAAGGAUAAAAUGAUGAAAUCCCCCCAGGAGAAGAUAGGCAUUGGACAAAACGGUCAUUCUCACGUUGACCAGG